GUGGCCGAGUGGGUAAGACCGCCUGGUAAUCCAGGGGUCGCAGGUUCAAAUCCCG
RNAcentral lists this transfer RNA (55 nucleotides) under Oxyrrhis marina. The record is from RNAcentral. Lineage: Eukaryota; Dinophyceae; Oxyrrhinales; Oxyrrhinaceae.